UAAAAGUCGUAACAAGGUUUCCGUAGGUGAACCUGCGGAAGGAUCAUUAUCGAAUAUAAACUUGGGUAGACUGUUGCUGGCUUCUCUUCGAGGGGCAUGUGCACGUUUAUCCUCUUUAUUUUUCCACCUGUGCACCUUUUGUAGGCUUGGAUUAUCAGUGGUUCUAAUGUGUCUUUCAAAAGGCAUAAGAAUUGUUUUGGGACUGCUGUGUUUAAACGCAUGUUUAUCGGCUUUCCCUUUUAUUUUCCAAGUCUAUGUUUGCUAUAUACACUCCAGAAAUGUAAUAGAAUGCUGUACUUUAGGUCAUUAGUACCUAUAAUAAAAUCAGUACAACUUUCAGCAACGGAUCUCUUGGCUCUCGCAUCGAUGAAGAACGCAGCGAAAUGCGAUAAGUAAUGUGAAUUGCAGAAUUCAGUGAAUCAUCGAAUCUUUGAACGCACCUUGCGCUCCUUGGUAUUCCAAGGAGCAUGCCUGUUUGAGUAUCAUUAAAUUAUCAACUGUACCAAUUUGGUUGCAGAUUGGAUGUGGGAGAUUUUGCAGGCUUUUGAUUUCUCUUUGAGAAAAGGUCAGCUCUCCUGAAAUAUAUUAGCAGUGCCUUUGUUGGUUCAUUAGGUGUGAUAAUUUAUCUACAUCUUCACAUGGUACCUUCAUUUGUAAAGGUCAUAUUGCUUCUAAUUGUCUUUGGACAAAAAAAACAUAUAAUGUAUGACAAACUUGAUCUCAAAUCAGGCAGGACUACCCGCUGAACUUAAGCAUAUCAAUAAGCGGAGGAAAAGAAACUAACAAGGAUUCCCCUAGUAACUGCGAGUGAAGCGGGAAAAGCUCAAAUUUAAAAUCUGACAGUUGUUCUGGCUGUCCGAGUUGUAAUCUAGAGAAGUGUUGCCCGCGCUGGACCGUGUACAAGUCUCCUGGAAUGGAGCAUCAUAGAGGGUGAGAAUCCCGUCUUUGACAUGGACUACCAGGGCUUUGUGGUGCGCUCUCGAAGAGUCGAGUUGUUUGGGAAUGCAGCUCAAAAUGGGUGGUAAAUGCCAUCUAAAGCUAAAUAUUGGCGAGAGACCGAUAGCGAACAAGUACCGUGAGGGAAAGAUGAAAAGAACUUUGGAAAGAGAGUUAAACAGUACGUGAAAUUGCUGAAAGGGAAACGCUUGAAGUCAGUCGCAUCGACUGGAAAUCAACCUUGCUUUUGCUUGGUGUAUUUUCUGGCUUGAUGGGUCAGCAUCAAUUUUGAUCGCUGGAUAAAGGCUUGGGGAAUGUGGCAUCUUAGGAUGUGUUAUAGCCCUUGGUUGCAUACAGCGGUUGGGAUUGAGGAACUCAGCACGCCGCAAGGCCGGGUUUCGACCACGUUUACGUGCUUAGGAUGCUGGCAUAAUGGCUUUAAUCGACCCGUCUUGAAACACGGACCAAGGAGUCUAACAUGCCUGCGAGUGUUUGGGUGGAAAACCCAUGCGCGCAAUGAAAGUGAAAAGUUGAGAUCCCUGUCGUGGGGAGCAUCGACGCCCAGACCAGACCUUUUGCGACGGAUCUGCGGUAGAGCAUGUAUGUUGGGACCCGAAAGAUGGUGAACUAUGCCUGAAUAGGGUGAAGCCAGAGGAAACUCUGGUGGAGGCUCGUAGCGAUUCUGACGUGCAAAUCGAUCGUCAAAUUUGGGUAUAGGGGCGAAAGACUAAUCGAACCAUCUAGUAGCUGGUUCCUGCCGAAGUUUCCCUCAGGAUAGCAGAAACUCAUAUCAGAUUUAUGUGGUAAAGCGAAUGAUUAGAGGCCUUGGGGUUGAAACAACCUUAACCUAUUCUCAAACUUUAAAUAUGUAAGAACAAGCCGUCUCUUGACUGGACCGCUUGGCGAUUGAGAGUUUCUAGUGGGCCAUUUUUGGUAAGCAGAACUGGCGAUGCGGGAUGAACCGAACGCGAGGUUAAGGUGCCGGAAUUCACGCUCAUCAGACACCACAAAAGGUGUUAGUUCAUCUAGACAGCAGGACGGUGGCCAUGGAAGUCGGAAUCCGCUAAGGAGUGUGUAACAACUCACCUGCCGAAUGAACUAGCCCUGAAAAUGGAUGGCGCUUAAGCGUGAUACCCAUACCUCGCCGUCAG
Molecule: ribosomal RNA, 2087 nt
Filed under: Inocybe sp. EL-2015
Lineage: Eukaryota; Fungi; Basidiomycota; Agaricomycetes; Agaricales; Inocybaceae
Description: eukaryotic LSU rRNA
Rfam family: Eukaryotic large subunit ribosomal RNA (bases 716-2087)
Source: RNAcentral